Molecule: ribosomal RNA, 255 nt
Filed under: uncultured bacterium
Lineage: Bacteria
Description: partial small subunit ribosomal RNA
Rfam family: Bacterial small subunit ribosomal RNA
Source: RNAcentral
AGGACGAACGCUGGCGGCGUGCUUAACACAUGCAAGUCGAGCGGAAAGGCCCUUCGGGGUACUCGAGCGGCGAACGGGUGAGUAACACGUGAGUAAUCUGCCCCUAGCUCUGGGAUAGCCGUCCGGGAAACCGGGAUUAAUACCGGAUACGACCACCUUAGACAUCUUUUGUGGUGGAAAGAAUUUCGGCUAGGGAUGAGCUCGCGGCCUAUCAGCUUGUUGGUGGGUAACGGCCUACCAAGGCGACGACGGUAG